RNAcentral lists this ribosomal RNA (498 nucleotides) under uncultured bacterium. RNAcentral's name for it is "partial 16S ribosomal RNA". It matches the Rfam family "Bacterial small subunit ribosomal RNA", at positions 28 to 508 of the family's 1533-position model. The record is from RNAcentral.
GAUGAACGCUGGCGGCGUGCCUAAUACAUGCAAGUCGAGCGAACAGACGAGGAGCUUGCUCCUCUGACGUUAGCGGCGGACGGGUGAGUAACACGUGGAUAACCUACCUAUAAGACUGGGAUAACUUCGGGAAACCGGAGCUAAUACCGGAUAAUAUAUUGAACCGCAUGGUUCAAUAGUGAAAGACGGUUUUGCUGUCACUUAUAGAUGGAUCCGCGCCGCAUUAGCUAGUUGGUAAGGUAACGGCUUACCAAGGCAACGAUGCGUAGCCGACCUGAGAGGGUGAUCGGCCACACUGGAACUGAGACACGGUCCAGACUCCUACGGGAGGCAGCAGUAGGGAAUCUUCCGCAAUGGGCGAAAGCCUGACGGAGCAACGCCGAGUGAGUGAUGAAGGUCUUCGGAUCGUAAAACUCUGUUAUUAGGGAAGAACAAAUGUGUAAGUAAAUAUGCACGUCUUGACGGUACCUAAUCAGAAAGCCACGGCUAACUACGUGC